Heterocephalus glaber (naked mole-rat) is the source of this 124-nucleotide small nuclear RNA. The record is from Ensembl. Lineage: Eukaryota; Metazoa; Chordata; Mammalia; Rodentia; Bathyergidae.
GUGUUGUGGAGAGGAGAGAAGCUUAACACUCCCUUGACAAGGAUGGAAGAGGCCCUUGGGACUGAUAACAUGCAUAUGGUUAAGGCAUUGCCACCUACUUCGUGGCAUCAAAUUCAUCCCCUAU